UACAGGGGUGCAAACGUUGCUCGGAAUCAUUGGGCGUAAAGCGCACGUAGGCGGUCUGUUAUGUCGGAUGUGAAAGCCCUGGGCUCAACCCAGGAAGUGCACUCGAAACUAGAUAGCUAGAAUCUUGGAGAGGCGAGUGGAAUUCCGAGUGUAGAGGUGAAAUUCGUAGAUAUUCGGAAGAACACCAAGUGGCGAAGGCGACUCGCUGGACAAGUAUUGACGCUGAGGUGCGAAAACGUGGGGACAACAGGG
Molecule: ribosomal RNA, 252 nt
Filed under: uncultured bacterium
Lineage: Bacteria
Description: partial 16S ribosomal RNA
Rfam family: Bacterial small subunit ribosomal RNA
Source: RNAcentral